Molecule: RNase P RNA, 319 nt
Filed under: Campylobacterales bacterium
Lineage: Bacteria; Pseudomonadati; Campylobacterota; Epsilonproteobacteria; Campylobacterales
Description: RNase P RNA component class A
Rfam family: Bacterial RNase P class A
About the family: Ribonuclease P (RNase P) is a ubiquitous endoribonuclease, found in archaea, bacteria and eukarya as well as chloroplasts and mitochondria.
Source: RNAcentral
UCGGCGUAGCAGACGAUUGCUUGAAAACAAGAGGAAAGUCCGGGCUACAUUGGGGUAAGGAUUCAGGUUAACGACCUGCCGUCGAAAGACGAGGGAAAGCGCAACAGAAAAUAGACUACCGUGUAUCACGGAAAAGGUGAAACGGUGAGGUAAGAGCUCACCGACGCUAUGGCGACAUAGCGUGCAAUGCAAGCCCAAUCCGUAGCAAGAAGAGGUGGUAAAAGCCCCAAGUUAUGCUCUUCGCAUGAGUUUUAUAGCGAUAUGAAACCUAGAUAAAUAGUCGUCUAAACAGAACCCGGCUUACAGCUACGCCUUUUUG